RNAcentral lists this long non-coding RNA (249 nucleotides) under Vigna radiata. RNAcentral's name for it is "long non-coding RNA (VRAD_LNC015815)". The record is from RNAcentral. Lineage: Eukaryota; Viridiplantae; Streptophyta; Magnoliopsida; Fabales; Fabaceae.
AAGCAUUCUGGAAUGGUGGUUCUUGAUAUUGAUGUUGUGAAGGGCGAAAUCUUUCCAAAAAGAGUUGCUUAAGAUCUUUCCAAUUGGUGAUGGAUCCACAAGGAAGACAAAACCGCCAAUACCUUGCCGCUCCAGCUAACGAGUAUUCAAAUGCCCUUAAGAACAUGUCCUUAUCCAAGACAUUUGGAGGUUUCAUUGAAGAGUAGAUGGUGUAGAACUCCUCCAAAUGUCUAUAUGGGCAUUCACCUG